CACCAGAUAAGAUUUUCGGAAACUCUUCAUGUGAUGGAUUUCCUGUAAUUCAAAAUUGUGUUUUUAGUGGUUAAAGGUCCAAACUUACAACCCAAAUUUUGGGGUUCAAAUGCCAGAAAGUUACUGACUGUUUUGGAUAUUAAUGUGUCGUCUAAAUUUGUAUUGAUAAUAAUAUAACUAUGUGGUUUUUAUAUUGGUAGCCUUAGAAUUUAACCUUUUUUUUAAGAUAGUACAAGACUGCACUUUCGUGUCAGGAUCUGGUUCACAAAUGAGAGACGACCCAAACAGGUAAGUGAAGAUCAGGUCAGUUUAUUGACAAUAAACAGUGGAUGGACUGAUGAUCGGUGAACCGGAACUGGCUGGAUGGCAAGUCGAGCAGAUUGACCGGUGGAGUCUGGGUAGGGUGUAGAAACGUCCAAGAACAGUUCCAGAUGUGUCGUCAAGGGUGAUCUUAGCCUCUGUGAUUGUAGCAGGUCCCACCCUGAUGUCAUGAUUUGGAUUUUCCAUUCUUAAGCCAUCUGGAUUUCCAAUGUGCUUCCAAAGCAACCACAGAAUUAAUUGGCAAUGGCUCUAAUUGAUCGAAUGCUCUGGUCAAAACAAAAUCUGCUGAUGAGAUGUCACUGUCGGCCUCAUGGACAUUGAAGGAAAAUAAAUUGAUUUCUCAAAUGAACCAAAACAGGGAUGUUUGAUGUGACCUUUUAACUAGAAUCCAGUAACAUCAUAAUUGAUAUUGGUGUACAUACCAAAAUACUAUUGUAUAUUAAAAUACUCAUUUAUGUCUAAAGAAACUGAGUGCAAUAGAAUGAUUGGCAGUGCAAUUCUAAUCUAUGCCAAGUUGUGCGAUCCUGACUCAGGAUGUUGGUUCUGAUAGUUAGAGACCAGCCCAGUCCCUGGAAACUCUCAAAACACUCGUUUCAGCAUCCGACAAAUGAAAUGUCUGUGAUGGGUUAAUGUGGAUUCAGAGAGGUUAAUUCAGGCUAACCUUUGUUCUUCAAACAAUAAAUUAGGCUUUGAUGAAGUUAUGCUGCGACGGGCCAGACAAAAGCAUGUCAAUCACAUAAAGUGGGAAAGAUCAAUGAGUAAUAGGGACCUCACAAAUCGUACACUAUUUCAGUACAUUUGGGCAGCCCAGU
This is a long non-coding RNA of Xyrauchen texanus (razorback sucker), 1133 nucleotides long. RefSeq lists it as uncharacterized. NCBI's taxonomy places the organism in Eukaryota, Metazoa, Chordata, Actinopteri, Cypriniformes, Catostomidae. The transcript has 3 exons. The record is from RefSeq and is a predicted model, not a curated record.